Molecule: small nucleolar RNA, 135 nt
Organism: Choloepus hoffmanni (Hoffmann's two-fingered sloth)
Lineage: Eukaryota; Metazoa; Chordata; Mammalia; Pilosa; Megalonychidae
Source: Ensembl
UUGCAAGCCUUUAAGCAUGCUGGAGUGUGGGGUGACUUGGUGUAUUCCUGCCAUGCUUGCCAGAAGGUUCUGAAAUGGUUUGAGGCCUUGUCCUCUCUUUUCUUCAGAGCAGGGCCAUAGACAUUUCAGACAGUU